UACAGAGGUCUCAAGCGUUGUUCGGAUUCAUUGGGCGUAAAGGGUGUGUAGGUGGCGCCGUAAGUCGGGUGUGAAAUUUCGGAGCUUAACUCCGAAACUGCAUUCGAUACUGCGGUGCUUGAGGACUGGAGAGGAGACUGGAAUUCAUGGUGUAGCAGUGAAAUGCGUAGAGAUCAUGAGGAAGACCAGUGGCGAAGGCGGGUCUCUGGACAGUUCCUGACACUGGGACACGAAAGCCAGGGGAGCAAACGGG
This 253-nucleotide ribosomal RNA is filed under the name uncultured bacterium. RNAcentral's name for it is "partial 16S ribosomal RNA". It matches the Rfam family "Bacterial small subunit ribosomal RNA", at positions 524 to 776 of the family's 1533-position model. The record is from RNAcentral.